This 246-nucleotide ribosomal RNA is filed under the name uncultured bacterium. RNAcentral's name for it is "partial 16S ribosomal RNA". It matches the Rfam family "Bacterial small subunit ribosomal RNA", at positions 524 to 769 of the family's 1533-position model. The record is from RNAcentral.
CACGGGGGGAGCAAGCGUUGUUCGGAAUCACUGGGCGUAAAGGGCGUGUAGGCGGUCGAGUAAGUGGAAUGUGAAAUACUCCGGCUCACCCGGAGCACUGCAUCCCCAAACUGCUCGGCUUGAGUAUGGGAGAGGACGAGGGAAUUCCUGGUGUAGCGGUGAAAUGCGUAGAUAUCAGGAGGAACACCGGUGGCGAAAGCGCUCGUCUGGCCCAAUACUGAGCUGAUGCGCGAAAGCUAGGGGAGC